AAAAAAAAUAUUGGGAUAUUCGAGUUUCUCUAUAUUUGAUGCAAAACCCUGUGGUUUUGGUUUCUAUCGAUAGUGAAAACUAGAGGGAGAGAUGGAAAUAGAAAGACGUUCACCAAAACCCCCAAAAAUUAGGGCAAAAAUGCUCAGAUUGGGUGUUGUUAUUUGAGGGUUUUGGUUUUAAUCGAUGGUGAAAACCAGAGGGACAGAUGGAAAUGGAAAGACGUUCACCAAAACAAAAAAUGCUCAGAUUGGGUGUUGUUAUUUGGGGGUUUUGGUUUUUAUCGAUGGGAAAAUCCAGAGGGAGAGAUGGAAAUGGAAAACGAGAGAGAGAGAGAGUUAGCAUACCUUGAGUGGGAUUCUGAGUGAGAUCCGCGGGUUUGAGCAAAUACGUAUGGAGAGAGCUUGUUGAGGCAGGGAUCAACUUCUCUGUUGAGGAGACAGAAUACCCUGAGAGCAAAUACACAGGGAGAGAGCUUGUUGAGGCAGAGACUAUGCGCCGAGAGCACGAGAGGAGAGAGACUUUGCGCAAAGAGUGUGAGAGGAGAGAGAAUACGCUCUCUAUUUUCCUUUGCAAGUGUCUGUUUUCCUCUGAGUGUCAGUACCCGCGGGAAUAAAAAACAAAUUAACUUUCAAACACGCUCCCCGCGGGGUGGCAUUGUGGCCGUCCAAACAAGCAACUUAAAUCAAUGCCGUUGGGCGCACCUCAAUGCCAUAAAUAGCGGAAGGAGAAUCAAUAAAAUUCAU
RNAcentral lists this long non-coding RNA (744 nucleotides) under Amborella trichopoda. RNAcentral's name for it is "long non-coding RNA (ATRI_LNC001224)". The record is from RNAcentral. Lineage: Eukaryota; Viridiplantae; Streptophyta; Magnoliopsida; Amborellales; Amborellaceae.